This 669-nucleotide ribosomal RNA is filed under the name uncultured bacterium. Its description in RNAcentral is "bacterial SSU rRNA". It matches the Rfam family "Bacterial small subunit ribosomal RNA", at positions 154 to 810 of the family's 1533-position model. The record is from RNAcentral.
AAACAGGUGCUAAUACCGCAUAACCAUAGUUACCGCAUGGUAACUAUGUAAAAGGUGGCUAUGCUACCGCUUUUGGAUGGGCCCGCGGCGCAUUAGCUAGUUGGUGGGGUAAAGGCUUACCAAGGCAAUGAUGCGUAGCCGAACUGAGAGGUUGAUCGGCCACAUUGGGACUGAGACACGGCCCAAACUCCUACGGGAGGCAGCAGUAGGGAAUCUUUCACAAUGGGCGAAAGCCUGAUGGAGCAACGCCGCGUGGGUGAAGAAGGUCUUCGGAUCGUAAAACCCUGUUGUUAGAGAAGAAAGUGCGUGAGAGUAACUGUUCACGUUUCGACGGUAUCUAACCAGAAAGCCACGGCUAACUACGUGCCAGCAGCCGCGGUAAUACGUAGGUGGCAAGCGUUAUCCGGAUUUAUUGGGCGUAAAGGGAACGCAGGCGGUCUUUUAAGUCUGAUGUGAAAGCCUUCGGCUUAACCGGAGUAGUGCAUUGGAAACUGGGAGACUUGAGUGCAGAAGAGGAGAGUGGAACUCCAUGUGUAGCGGUGAAAUGCGUAGAUAUAUGGAAGAACACCAGUGGCGAAAGCGGCUCUCUGGUCUGUAACUGACGCUGAGGUUCGAAAGCGUGGGUAGCAAACAGGAUUAGAUACCCUGGUAGUCCACGCCGUAGACGAU